GCAUCGAUAGCUCAGUUGGCAGAGCGCCGGCAUGACUCGCCGGAGGCCCCAGGUUCGAUCCCUGGUCGAUGCA
This 73-nucleotide transfer RNA is filed under the name Leifsonia sp. Leaf264. RNAcentral's name for it is "tRNA-Val". It matches the Rfam family "tRNA". From Rfam's summary of the family: Transfer RNA (tRNA) molecules are approximately 80 nucleotides in length. Their secondary structure includes four short double-helical elements and three loops (D, anti-codon, and T loops). The record is from RNAcentral. Lineage: Bacteria; Bacillati; Actinomycetota; Actinomycetes; Micrococcales; Microbacteriaceae.